ACUUGAGUAUCUUUAAAAAAAAGUUUAACUCUGAAGAAGUUAACAUAGGUUUUACCUCUCAAGUA
Molecule: transfer RNA, 65 nt
Filed under: Dinorhynchus dybowskyi
Lineage: Eukaryota; Metazoa; Arthropoda; Insecta; Hemiptera; Pentatomidae
Description: tRNA-Phe
Source: RNAcentral